GGACGAACGCUGGCGGCGUGCUUAACACAUGCAAGUCGAACGGUGAACCCCAGCUUGCUGGGGGGAUCAGUGGCGAACGGGUGAGUAACACGUGAGUAACCUGCCCCUGACUCUGGGAUAAGCCUUGGAAACGAGGUCUAAUACCGGAUACGAGACGCUCGGGCAUCUGAGCGUCUGGAAAGAUUUAUCGGUCAGGGAUGGACUCGCGGCCUAUCAGCUUGUUGGUGGGGUAACGGCCCACCAAGGCGACGACGGGUAGCCGGCCUGAGAGGGCGACCGGCCACACUGGGACUGAGACACGGCCCAGACUCCUACGGGAGGCAGCAGUGGGGAAUAUUGCACAAUGGGCGCAAGCCUGAUGCAGCGACGCCGCGUGAGGGAUGAAGGCCUUCGGGUUGUAAACCUCUUUCAGCAGGGAAGAAGCGCAAGUGACGGUACCUGCAGAAGAAGCGCCGGCUAACUACGU
This 466-nucleotide ribosomal RNA is filed under the name Cellulomonas sp. 'ARUP UnID 201'. RNAcentral's name for it is "bacterial SSU rRNA". It matches the Rfam family "Bacterial small subunit ribosomal RNA", at positions 27 to 506 of the family's 1533-position model. The record is from RNAcentral. Lineage: Bacteria; Bacillati; Actinomycetota; Actinomycetes; Micrococcales; Cellulomonadaceae.